GGGCCAGCUAUAGCCCAGCGGUUACUUCGGUGUUUCACAAGCUUGUGGCUUGCCCCAUGAGGGGUUCGAUCCUGGGGGCACCUCUGGCCCAUUU
This 94-nucleotide vault RNA is filed under the name Balearica regulorum gibbericeps (East African grey crowned-crane). RNAcentral describes it as "Balearica pavonina gibbericeps Vault RNA". It matches the Rfam family "Vault RNA". Rfam says of the family: This family of RNAs are found as part of the enigmatic vault ribonucleoprotein complex. The complex consists of a major vault protein (MVP), two minor vault proteins (VPARP and TEP1), and several small untranslated RNA molecules. It has been suggested that the vault complex is involved in drug resistance. The record is from Rfam by way of RNAcentral. Lineage: Eukaryota; Metazoa; Chordata; Aves; Gruiformes; Gruidae.